RNAcentral lists this ribosomal RNA (1242 nucleotides) under Tetranychus urticae (two-spotted spider mite). RNAcentral's name for it is "rRNA tetur42g00311". It matches the Rfam family "Eukaryotic small subunit ribosomal RNA", at positions 21 to 606 of the family's 1831-position model. The record is from RNAcentral. Lineage: Eukaryota; Metazoa; Arthropoda; Arachnida; Trombidiformes; Tetranychidae.
UAGUCAUAUGCUUGUCUCAAGAUUAAGCCAUGCAUGUCUAAGUACAUACUGUUUAUAAAGUGAAACCGCGAAUGGCUCAUUAAAUCAGUGGCCACGGCCCCUAGCGAAUCUACCAUCUUUUUGUGUCCAAACAAGAACUUCAAAUCCUCAAAUUGUAGCAAAUACUCGUUUUCUAUUUUUUAUUCAUUGUUUCAACCCGGAAGCGCGAAACACGAAUACAUGAGUCACUAGAGAUAAGCACUUUCUUUGGAAGUCAUUUAAUCUACCUGAAAAGAUAAGAUUAACUUUUCCUGCCAUGCUUUCCAAAGGCUUUCAAAAUUUAUGCUUAGGAAAUUUUUUCAAAGAGUUACUACACUAAUUUGUCUGUAUCAAUUGAUUGUGAUGUGUUUAAAGUCUUAAAAAUUACCAGCAUAUUUUUCGGACCUCAGGUGAUAACAAAAUGAUAAAAUUGAACGAAGUCCGUAAACGGAUUAAGAAUUACAUGACUUGAAACUAACGCAUGGUAAAUUCCGUUCAAAACUUUAGCAUUUUCGCUGAUUGAGGCGCAAGGAAUUAAUGAAAAAAUCUAGCAAACUAAUCGUGCUAUUUUUCUGAAAUUUAAUUAUUAUAAAUAUAUCCCUAUUAUAAUCAUUGCUAGGAAAUUUCAAGUCUAUUGAACAAAUGGUUUCUGAGAAAAUAGAUGAAGUAAAUUGUCCAAUAAUUUAAGCCCACAGGUUAAUACAUGAACAAGUGUUCCAACCUCAGCUUGCUGACGGAAGGAUCGCAUUUAUUAGUACAAGACCAAUGAUUCUUAUUCACCUAGAACCCUGUUCAGUGAUUUCGGUCGCUGUCUAAGGACUAGCAGUGGGGAUCUUAGCAACUUCGGUUGCAUUUCUUGUGAUGACUCUGAAUAACUGAGCAAAUCGUAUGGCCUCUGAGCCGACGAUGUAUCCCUCAAGCAACUGCCUUAUCAACUGUCGAUGGUAGGUUAUGCGCCUACCAUGGUUGUAACGGGUAACGGGGAAUUAGGGUUCGAUUCCGGAGAGGGAGCCUGAGAAACGGCUACCACAUCUAAGGAAGGCAGCAGGCGCGCAAAUUACACAAUCCCAGUACGGGGAUGUAGUGACGAAAAAUAACAAUACGGGACUCUAUUGAGGCCCCGUAAUUGGAAUGAGUACAAUUUAAAUCCUUUAACGAGGAUCUAUUGGAGGGCAAGUCUGGUGCCAGCAGCCGCGGUAAUUCCAGCUCCAAUAGCGUAUAUUA